This 88-nucleotide transfer RNA is filed under the name Myxococcales bacterium. RNAcentral describes it as "tRNA-OTHER". It matches the Rfam family "Selenocysteine transfer RNA". The record is from RNAcentral. Lineage: Bacteria; Pseudomonadati; Myxococcota; Myxococcia; Myxococcales.
GGAAGGUGACGUGGCCGUGGUGGCCACACCGGCUUCGAAUACCGGGGGCGUCAUCGACGCAGAGGUUCGACUCCUCCGCCUUCCGCCA